GGAGGGUUCGCCUAGUGGCCGAUGGCGCUGGUCUUGAAAACCGGUAAGGCAGCGAUGUCUUCGUGGGUUCGAAUCCCACACCCUCCGCC
RNAcentral lists this transfer RNA (89 nucleotides) under Micromonospora sagamiensis. RNAcentral's name for it is "tRNA-Ser". It matches the Rfam family "tRNA". Rfam says of the family: Transfer RNA (tRNA) molecules are approximately 80 nucleotides in length. Lineage: Bacteria; Bacillati; Actinomycetota; Actinomycetes; Micromonosporales; Micromonosporaceae. The record is from RNAcentral. RNAcentral also lists the same sequence under 8 other names.